Molecule: ribosomal RNA, 253 nt
Filed under: uncultured bacterium
Lineage: Bacteria
Description: partial 16S ribosomal RNA
Rfam family: Bacterial small subunit ribosomal RNA
Source: RNAcentral
UACGUAGGGUCCGAGCGUUGUCCGGAAUUACUGGGCGUAAAGAGCUCGUAGGUGGUUUGUCGCGUUGUCCGUGAAAACUCACAGCUCAACUGUGGGCGUGCGGGCGAUACGGGCAGGCUAGAGUUCGGUAGGGGAGACUGGAAUUCCUGGUGUAGCGGUGAAAUGCGUAGAGCUCGGGAAGAACAUCGGUGGCGAAAGCGCUCUACUGGACUGCAACUGACACUCAGGGACGAAAGCUAGGGGAGCGAAUGGG